GGAGAGAUGCCGGAGCGGCUGAACGAACCGGUCUCGAAAACCGGAGUAGGGGCAACUCUACCGGGGGUUCAAAUCCCCCUCUCUCCGCCA
Molecule: transfer RNA, 90 nt
Filed under: Escherichia coli
Lineage: Bacteria; Pseudomonadati; Pseudomonadota; Gammaproteobacteria; Enterobacterales; Enterobacteriaceae
Also listed under: 5 other names
Description: tRNA-Ser
Rfam family: tRNA
About the family: Transfer RNA (tRNA) molecules are approximately 80 nucleotides in length. Their secondary structure includes four short double-helical elements and three loops (D, anti-codon, and T loops). Further hydrogen bonds mediate the characteristic L-shaped molecular structure. tRNAs have two regions of fundamental functional importance: the anti-codon, which is responsible for specific mRNA codon recognition, and the 3' end, to which the tRNAs corresponding amino acid is attached (by aminoacyl-tRNA synthetases). tRNAs cope with the degeneracy of the genetic code in two manners: having more than one tRNA (with a specific anti-codon) for a particular amino acid; and 'wobble' base-pairing, i.e. permitting non-standard base-pairing at the 3rd anti-codon position.
Source: RNAcentral